GACGAACGCUGGCGGCGUGCUUAACACAUGCAAGUCGAACGGAAAGGCCCUGCUUUUGUGGGGUGCUCGAGUGGCGAACGGGUGAGUAACACGUGAGUAACCUGCCCUUGACUUUGGGAUAACUUCAGGAAACUGGGGCUAAUACCGGAUAGGAGCUCCUGCUGCAUGGUGGGGGUUGGAAAGUUUCGGCGGUUGGGGAUGGACUCGCGGCUUAUCAGCUUGUUGGUGGGGUAGUGGCUUACCAAGGCUUUGACGGGUAGCCGGCCUGAGAGGGUGACCGGCCACAUUGGGACUGAGAUAAGGCCCAGACUCCUACGGGAGGCAGCAGUGGAGAAUAUUGCACAAUGGGCGGAAGCCUGAUGCAGCAACGCCGCGUGCGGGAUGACGGCCUUCGGGUUGUAAACCGCUUUCGCCUGUGACGAAGCGUGAGCGACGGUAAUGGGUAAAGAAGCACCGGCUAACUACGUG
RNAcentral lists this ribosomal RNA (468 nucleotides) under uncultured bacterium. RNAcentral's name for it is "partial 16S ribosomal RNA". It matches the Rfam family "Bacterial small subunit ribosomal RNA", at positions 28 to 507 of the family's 1533-position model. The record is from RNAcentral.